UACGUAGGUGGCAAGCGUUAUCCGGAAUUACUGGGCGUAAAGCGCACGCAGGCGGUCUUUUAAGUUUGACGUGAAAGCUCUCGGCUUAACUGGGGGAGGGCGUUGAAUACUGGGAGACUUGAGGAAAUGAGAGGGGUGUAGAAUUCCCGGUGUAGUGGUGGAAUGCGUAGAGAUGGGGGGGAAUACCGGUGGCGAAGGCGGCACCCUAGCAUUUUUCUGACGCUCAUGUGCGAAAGCGUGGGGAGCGAACAGG
This 253-nucleotide ribosomal RNA is filed under the name uncultured bacterium. RNAcentral describes it as "partial 16S ribosomal RNA". It matches the Rfam family "Bacterial small subunit ribosomal RNA", at positions 524 to 776 of the family's 1533-position model. The record is from RNAcentral.